UCUGUCGUGUGGGUGCCAAGUGCUUGAA
RNAcentral lists this non-coding RNA (28 nucleotides) under Homo sapiens (human). Lineage: Eukaryota; Metazoa; Chordata; Mammalia; Primates; Hominidae. The record is from RNAcentral.